GGGUUGUGAGGUUAAGCGACUAAGCGUACACGGUGGAUGCCCUGGCAGUCAGAGGCGAUGAAGGACGUGCUAAUCUGCGAAAAGCGUCGGUAAGGUGAUAUGAACCGUUAUAGCCGGCGAUGUCCGAAUGGGGAAACCCAGUGCAAUUCGUUGCACUAUCGUUAACUGAAUACAUAGGUUAACGAGGCGAACCGGGGGAACUGAAACAUCUAAGUACCCCGAGGAAAAGAAAUCAACCGAGAUUCCCCCAGUAGCGGCGAGCGAACGGGGAGCAGCCCAGAGUCUGAAUCAGCUUGUGUGUUAGUGGAACGGUCUGGAAAGUCCGACGGUACAGGGUGAUAGUCCCGUACACCAAAAUGCACAGGCUGUGAACUCGAAGAGUAGGGCGGGACACGUGGUAUCCUGUCUGAAUAUGGGGGGACCAUCCUCCAAGGCUAAAUACU
Molecule: ribosomal RNA, 443 nt
Filed under: Klebsiella pneumoniae
Lineage: Bacteria; Pseudomonadati; Pseudomonadota; Gammaproteobacteria; Enterobacterales; Enterobacteriaceae
Description: partial 23S ribosomal RNA
Rfam family: Bacterial large subunit ribosomal RNA
Source: RNAcentral